Danio aesculapii is the source of this 397-nucleotide non-coding RNA. The record is from the annotation of a RefSeq genome assembly. Lineage: Eukaryota; Metazoa; Chordata; Actinopteri; Cypriniformes; Danionidae.
UGAACCUACAAGAACAACAAUGACCUUCAGCAGCAUAUUGAUCUGGACACUGGCAGCAUUAUGUGGAGAAUGUAUUGGUCAGGUGACAGUGACUCAAACUCCCUCAGUGCUGCUCUCUGAACCUGGACAAUCACUCACUGUCAACUGCAGAUUCAGCAGAGAUCCAGUCUGCUGUUCUUAUUAUGUUAGCUGGUACUUACAGAAACCUGGAGAAGCUCCUAAACUCCUGAUUUAUUUAACAAACAGUCGUCAGUCAGGAACUGCAUCUAGAUUCAGUGGCAGUGGAUCUAACAGUGAUUUCACUCUGAGCAUCAGUGGAGUCCAGACUGAAGAUGCUGGACAUUAUUACUGUCAGAGUGUUCAUGUCAUCAACAGUGACUUGGUGUUGACACAGUGA